GAUGAAGAACGUAGCGAAAUGCGAUAAGUAAUGUGAAUUGCAGAAUUCAGUGAAUCAUCGAAUCUUUGAACGCACCUUGCGCCCUUUGGCUAUUCCGAAGGGCAUGCCUGUUUGAGUAUCAUGAACACCUCAACUCUCAUGGUUUGCCAUGAUGAGCUUGGACUUUGGGGGUCUUGCCGGCCUAUGGGUCGGCUCCUCUCAAAUUAAUCAGCUUGCCAGUGUUUGGUGGCAUCACAGGUGUUAUAACUAUCUACGCUUGUGGUUUUCCAUCAGGUAACCUUCAGUGAUGGAGGUUCGCUGGGGCUCAUAAAUGUCUCUCCUCAGUGAGGACAGCUUUUUUGAACGUUUGAUCUCAAAUCAGGUAGGACUACCCGCUGAACUUAAGCAUAUCAAUAAGCGGAGGA
RNAcentral lists this unclassified non-coding RNA (404 nucleotides) under soil metagenome. Its description in RNAcentral is "partial contains 5.8S ribosomal RNA, internal transcribed spacer 2, and large subunit ribosomal RNA". The stretch from base 1 to 121 matches the Rfam family "5.8S ribosomal RNA", at positions 35 to 154 of the family's 154-position model. The record is from RNAcentral.